This 443-nucleotide ribosomal RNA is filed under the name uncultured bacterium. RNAcentral describes it as "bacterial SSU rRNA". It matches the Rfam family "Bacterial small subunit ribosomal RNA", at positions 29 to 507 of the family's 1533-position model. The record is from RNAcentral.
AACGAACGCUGGCGGCAGGCCUAACACAUGCAAGUCGAACGAUAAGCCACCUUCGGGUGGUGGAAAGUGGCGCACGGGUGAGUAACGCGUGGGAACCUACCCAGGGGUACGGAAUAACUCAGGGAAACUUGAGCUAAUACCGUAUACACCUUACGAGGGAAAGAUUUAUCGCCCCUGGACGGGCCCGCGUCGGAUUAGCUAGUUGGUGAGGUAAUGGCUCACCAAGGCUACGAUCCGUAGCUGGUCUGAGAGGAUGAUCAGCCACACUGGAACUGAGACACGGUCCAGACUCCUACGGGAGGCAGCAGUGGGGAAUAUUGGGCAAUGGGCGCAAGCCUGACCCAGCCAUGCCGCGUGGGUGAAGAAGGUCUUAGGAUUGUAAAGCCCUUUCAGCAGGGAAGAUGAUGACGGUACCUGCAGAAGAAGCCCCGGCUAACUCCGUG